Molecule: ribosomal RNA, 219 nt
Filed under: Strumigenys denticulata
Lineage: Eukaryota; Metazoa; Arthropoda; Insecta; Hymenoptera; Formicidae
Description: partial large subunit ribosomal RNA
Source: RNAcentral
GAAUUUAAUAUAAUUUAAUAUAUAAAUUUGUGUAUAAAUAAUAUAGUUAAUAAUAUUUAGUUGGGAGGAUUAUUAAAUUUAAUAAACUUUAAAUAUGAAUUAGGUUGUGGAUUGAUAUAUAGAAUUUUUUUGAAUGAUUAAUAAAUUAAAAUAGAAUUAAUUACCUUAGGGAUAACAGCGUGAUAUUUUUAUGAAGAUCUUAUUGAUAAAAGUGAUUGC